RNAcentral lists this transfer RNA (69 nucleotides) under Ictidomys tridecemlineatus (thirteen-lined ground squirrel). Its description in RNAcentral is "Spermophilus tridecemlineatus (thirteen-lined ground squirrel) tRNA". It matches the Rfam family "tRNA". From Rfam's summary of the family: Transfer RNA (tRNA) molecules are approximately 80 nucleotides in length. Lineage: Eukaryota; Metazoa; Chordata; Mammalia; Rodentia; Sciuridae. The record is from Rfam by way of RNAcentral.
GGAUUUGUGGCUCAGUGGUAGAGCGCUCGCCUGGAAUGCAUGAGGCCCUGGGUUUGAUCCUCAGUACCA